GGGAUCGUAGUUCAGCUUGGUUAGAACGCCGGCCUGUCAAGCCGGAGGUCGCCGGUUCGAUCCCGGUCGGUCCCG
RNAcentral lists this transfer RNA (75 nucleotides) under Chloroflexota bacterium. Its description in RNAcentral is "Chloroflexi bacterium tRNA-Asp". It matches the Rfam family "tRNA". From Rfam's summary of the family: Transfer RNA (tRNA) molecules are approximately 80 nucleotides in length. Their secondary structure includes four short double-helical elements and three loops (D, anti-codon, and T loops). The record is from RNAcentral. Lineage: Bacteria; Bacillati; Chloroflexota. RNAcentral also lists the same sequence under 3 other names.